UAUUUUAACAAGUCAUUUUAAUAUUUGUAACCUUAAAGAAACGACGACUACCCACCAACUCUUAAUAUCACAAAUUAGAGAAUCAAAUUCAUUAUUUAAAGAGGCGACCAUCAUUUAUAGAAUAGCAAUCAUAAAACAAGAUGAAACUUAAAUGCAAAUAACAUAAAGUAGCCCUUCAAGAGCAUAACAGGUUAAAAUCCCCAUCAAAAGAAUGACCCAUGACAUAUAGGAGCCACGGAUAGCCAUAGAAAGUG
RNAcentral lists this long non-coding RNA (254 nucleotides) under Phoenix dactylifera (date palm). RNAcentral's name for it is "long non-coding RNA (PDAC_LNC015321)". The record is from RNAcentral. Lineage: Eukaryota; Viridiplantae; Streptophyta; Magnoliopsida; Arecales; Arecaceae.